Molecule: ribosomal RNA, 467 nt
Filed under: uncultured bacterium
Lineage: Bacteria
Description: partial 16S ribosomal RNA
Rfam family: Bacterial small subunit ribosomal RNA
Source: RNAcentral
ACGAACGCUGGCGGCGCGCCUAACACAUGCAAGUCGAACGGAGUCAAGAGGAGCUUGCUUUUCUUGACUUAGUGGCGAACGGGUGAGUAACGCGUGAGUAACCUGCCCUGGAGUGGGGGGCAACAGUUGGAAACGACUGCUAAUACCGCAUAAGCCCACGGAUCCGCAUGGAUCUGCGGGAAAAGGAUUUAUUCGCUUCAGGAUGGACUCGCGUCCAAUUAGCUAGUUGGGUAGGUAACGGCCCACCAAGGCGACGAUUGGUAGCCGGACUGAGAGGUUGAAUGGCCACAUUGGGACUGAGACACGGCCCAGACUCCUACGGGAGGCAGCAGUGGGUGAUAUUGCACAAUGGGGGAAACCCUGAUGCAGCGACGCCGCGUGGAGGAAGAAGGUUUUCGGAUUGUAAACUCCUGUCGUUAGGGACGAUAAUGACGGUACCUAACAAGAAAGCACCGGCUAACUACGUG